CCUACGGGAGGCUGCAGUGGGGAAUAUUGGACAAUGGGGGGAACCCUGAUCCAGCGACGCCGCGUGAGUGAAGAAGUAUUUCGGUAUGUAAAGCUCUAUCAGCAGGGAAGAAAAUAAUGACUGUACCUGACUAAGAAGCCCCGGCUACAUACGUGCCAGCAGCCGCGGUAAUACGUAGGGGGCAAGCGGAAUCCGGCUGUACGGGGUGGAAAGGGAUCGUGGGCGGCCAUGCACGUCAGAGGUGAAAGGCGGGGGCCCAACCCCAGGACUGCUUUGGAGACUGUAUGGCUGGAGUGUAGGGGAGGUAAGUGGAAGUCCUGGUGUAGCGGUGAAAUGCGUAGAGAUUAGGAGGAACACUAGUGGCGAAGGCGGCUUACUGGAAUGUAACUGACGCUGAGGCUCGAAAGCGUGGGGAGCAAACAGGAUUAGAUACCCCAGUAGUC
Molecule: ribosomal RNA, 443 nt
Filed under: uncultured bacterium
Lineage: Bacteria
Description: partial 16S ribosomal RNA
Rfam family: Bacterial small subunit ribosomal RNA
Source: RNAcentral